Molecule: ribosomal RNA, 939 nt
Filed under: uncultured bacterium
Lineage: Bacteria
Description: bacterial SSU rRNA
Rfam family: Bacterial small subunit ribosomal RNA
Source: RNAcentral
UGGUGUGCGAGUGACGGUACUUUACCAGAAAGCCACGGCUAACUACGUGCCAGCAGCCGCGGUAAUACGUAGGUGGCGAGCGUUAUCCGGAAUUAUUGGGUUUAAAGGGUGCGUAGGCGGCCAUUUAAGUCAGCGGUGAAAUUUUGCAGCUUAACUGUAACAGUGCCGUUGAUACUGUUUGGCUAGGAUUUGGUUGUAGUGUGCGGAAUGUGUGGUGUAGCGGUGAAAUGCUUAGAUAUCACACAGAACACCGAUUGCGAAGGCAGCACACUAAGUCAUUAUUGACGCUGAGGCACGAAAGUGUGGGGAUCAAACAGGAUUAGAUACCCUGGUAGUCCACACUGUAAACGAUGAUAACUCGCUGUCGGCGAUACACAGUCGGUGGCCAAGCGAAAGCAUUAAGUUAUCCACCUGGGGAGUACGACCGCAAGGUUGAAACUCAAAGGAAUUGACGGGGGCCCGCACAAGCGGAGGAACAUGUGGUUUAAUUCGAUGAUACGCGAGGAACCUUACCCGGGCUCGAACGGUGCAUGAAUAUACGAGAGAUUGUAUAGUCCUUCGGGACAUGUAUCGAGGUGCUGUAUGGUUGUCGUCAGCUCGUGCCGUGAGGUGUCGGCUUAAGUGCCAUAACGAGCGCAACCCUUGUCAUUAGUUGCCAUCAGGUCAAGCUGGGGACUUUAAUGAGACUGCCACCGUAAGGUGUGAGGAAGGGGGGGAUGACGUCAAAUCAGCACGGCCCUUAUGUCCGGGGCGACACACGUGUUACAAUGGGAGGUACAGAGGGCAGCUAUCCGGUGACGGAAUGCUAAUCUCCAAAACCUUUCUCAGUUCGGAUUGGAGUCUGCAACUCGACUCCAUGAAGGUGGAUUCGCUAGUAAUCGCGCAUCAGCCAUGGCGCGGUGAAUACGUUCCCGGGCCUUGCACUCACCGCCCGUCAAG